UGGGGAAUAUUGGACAAUGGGCGCAAGCCUGAUCCAGCCAUGCCGCGUGUGUGAAGAAGGCCUUUUGGUUGUAAAGCACUUUAAGCGAGGAGGAGGCUACUUGGAUUAAUACUCUAGGAUAGUGGACGUUACUCGCAGAAUAAGCACCGGCUAACUCUGUGCCCGCAGCCGCGGUAAUACAGAGGGUGCGAGCGUUAAUCGGAUUUACUGGGCGUAAAGCGUGCGUAGGCGGCUUCUUAAGUCGGAUGUGAAAUCCCUGAGCUUAACUUAGGAAUUGCAUUCGAUACUGGGAAGCUAGAGUAUGGGAGAGGAUGGUAGAAUUCCAGGUGUAGCGGUGAAAUGCGUAGAGAUCUGGAGGAAGACCGAUGGCGAAAGCAGCCAUCUGGCCUAAUACUGACGCUGAGGUACGAAAACAUGAGGAGCAAACAGG
Molecule: ribosomal RNA, 430 nt
Filed under: Bacillota bacterium
Lineage: Bacteria; Bacillati; Bacillota
Description: Firmicutes bacterium partial 16S ribosomal RNA
Rfam family: Bacterial small subunit ribosomal RNA
Source: RNAcentral